RNAcentral lists this long non-coding RNA (428 nucleotides) under Moschus moschiferus (Siberian musk deer). Its description in RNAcentral is "lncRNA (ENSMMSG00000020198.1)". The record is from RNAcentral. Lineage: Eukaryota; Metazoa; Chordata; Mammalia; Artiodactyla; Moschidae.
CCCUCCCCUCUCUCCCUCCCACCCCAAACCGCUUUCACAAACUCCUUUCUUACCGUAGGUUUCUCCCCUCCCGCCGCCCGAGCGAGCGCCACGGCUGCGGCCCCCUCCCCUCCCUUCCCUCCCUCCCUCCCAUCCCCCCCUCCCCGAGACCCGCCGGACCCCGCACCCAGGUUGGAUGCCCACCCCACUCCUCCAGCCUCUGGCCCCCAGAGUGGAGGUUGCGAGCCGUACUGCCUUUGUUGCCGGAAGAGUUAUGUUAUAAUUUACCCUGGGUAGACCGGGGAUGCACAAAAGAUGUCUGGAUGUGACCUCGAGUGACUCUUCCCAAGACUUGGAGAUUUUCUAGUAAGGGAGUUGGGUGAAUUUCAUGUGGGGGGAAAGCAGAGCAAAGAAUCCUAUAGCUGAGAAUCUGAAUGAGCAGAAGGCGA